GAGCACCGGAGGAGCGAAGAAAGAACUGCAGGUGAGGUUCAGGAGACCUAGUACAAACAAGGUUUUUAGUGAGAGGGCUUCCAAAGUAAGGCAAACCUAAGGUAAACUAUAAGGAAAAGACGCUUUGUGAUUUUAUCCGUUUUUUGUCGUUAAACGUGACCCGGAACCCAAUUAUACAAUCAGGGUUUUUAUUAUAUUUUCACAUAUUAUUUCGGGUAAUUUGUAGGUUUUGUCUAUUAUAUUAUCGUACCUUGUUAUUUUUUAAUAUCUAUGCAACCUCUGCAUAGUGGGCCGUAGGGUUCGAUAAUAAGUUUUUACUCGCUGGUUGAUUCGAUACCUGAACGAGAUCACGAAGUGAAUAAAAUGAGCCUUGCUGGUAGCCAUAAAAUGAGCCUUGAUAUAAAAAUAAGCAGUGUAUGAUACACAAAACGAACCUCGCAGAACAUACUAGACUCAGAAACGAACAAAAUAAAACACAAAAUUCAGAACUAGGGAAGGACCUGUGUGGAUAAACUCUCUCGGUUUUAAUACAGUACUGAACAAUCUUAACGAGAGAUACGAAGUGAAUUAAAAAAAUAUUCGAUACCUGAACGAGAUCACGAAGUGAAUAUAGAAAAACUCGUGCCACACGAAAUCAUAAAAGCUUCUUUACGAGAGAACGAAGUGAAUCUAAACAAACUCUCAAUCAUUUUAAAAGUUCUUUAAGAGAGAACGAAGUGAAUUUAAUUAAACUCUCUUUCUUUAUAAUACGAGUAAUAGAAGUGAAUAUAAACAAACUCUAACAGUUUUCGUUGUUUACUCUUAAUCAGGGUUUCACCAUCUAUAGGUUCUUUCUAUAUUAUUUUUGAAAGUACUUCUAGUAACGUGUUUUAUUUGAACUAAGAAUCAUUAUCAAAACUCUAUACUACUACUCUAUACACUCAGUAGGACUACUCAUUAAUACGAAAUCAUUCUUAUAACCACAAUUCCAAACACUAAGGGAUACGUUCGUGCUUUCAGUUAUCAAUACGUUACUUUAAUAUAGGAUGCAUACCACGUAAUACGCCACAAUCAAUACGAAUUACGAGCGAAUACUCUUAUAAGCAAAGAACCAACCAGCGAAGAGUUAGAAAACGAUCGGAAGUAAAACGUAAUUCAUACUAGAGAUGAACACGUAGGUUUUUGGAAAUUGGUUCAAAACGGUGUACUCAGGUGAUAUAGAUCGUUAUACACCAUAAGAAAACGGAAAGAUUCGUUUAAACGUACACGGUAGAGAUUAAAAGUUUUUAUUUGAAGAGAAAACACACAAACAAAGCGAGCACCUCGCCACUCCCCACCGAUUAUAAAAGGUACGAUCUACACAAUAAGAGUUCUACUCACAAAUAAGUGAACAGUAACGUGCUCUCAUUCCGUUUCCAUAAUCCCUACGGGUCAGGGCUUUACGUUUUUUUACUUAAAUGAAAUACAACAGUUUAUUAUUUAAGGAACCUUUCACAACCAUACCUCCCGUGGGCACCUAUGCCAAUCGGUACCUUUCACUUUCAAACCACCUUUUUACUUAUUUGAAAUAAAAGAUAAACUCUUGGCGGAUACUAUAUAGAUACGUACCUUUCAUAACCCUUGAGAUUCAGCAAAGGCAACCACCCUACCUAUGUGGAGGGUUUUACAAAAAUAGAGAUUCAAAAAGCGAAACUCGAGACCGUGGAGAUGUUUAGGGAUGAAGGGAGACGCUUCCCGGAUAGAAAAUAAAAUACGUUUAAAAAAAACUUAAACUCAGAGGUAGAAGAGAAUAUUUUCGUGGUUGAUCCUCCGUUAUACUAGCAUGAACUCAUAACCUGUAUCGAUUAUACACUCACACAAAGUACUUACCUAGUUUCCAACUCGUACUACCCGAUCCCUAUCGAAUAAAAUCGCAACUAUAAAACUUUCUGUACCAAUGAACAACUAUACGAACUCAUAAAUUUAAUAGUACAGUUUUGAUCUGAUAACUAAACUUCUUAUAUUUUCAGGUUUACUGGUACGAUAUUUCUUUCUUUAUACUAUGUACAAUCCGUCGUAAGGUGUAGUUUUUAAGACAAAAAUAGUGAAGGGAUGAGCUCCUGCUCAUCCUCAAUUCGAACCCCUACGAUUAUGCAGAGGUUGUAUAGAUAUUACAAACUAACAAGGUACGAUAAUAUAAUAGUUAGAACCUACAAAAUAUUAGUAAAAUAUCAAUAAAAUAUAGUAAAAACCAUGAUUGGAUAACUGUAUCACGGUUCACGGUCAACGACAAAAAAGGUACAAAAAAUGUAGCGUCUUUUAGUUAUAGUUUACCUCAGGUUUACGGUACUUUGAAAUGCCUCUUAAAAAUACCCGGUCUUCCUUGUGUUUGCCCGGGACCGACGCGGACCCCCCACGGGGCUCCCUCCGUGUUGGGUGGUCCCGCGCGGUCCUCCGGGUCCGCGCGGGACCACCCAACACGGGUGGAGCCCACGGGGGGCCUGGCGGAGAAACGAGAUAUUUAUGGGGUUAUAAGGUCUUUGGGAUCCCCUCAGCUGCUUUAUAACUAGGUCGGCGGCGUCUCAGGUCUUGGUGGUCUAGGUUAGAUCUGUGGUAGAGCCUACCCCAAGUGGUGGAGGUAACCACGGAGAGGCUACUACGCACUCAUCAAGAAACAUCUGGAAGCCCAGGCAUCAAUCAUCGAUCUACCGAAGUAGAGAAAGAGAACUAAGAGUUAUAUCACCAGAGAACCUCUAGGUAUACUACAUUGAGAAAAACGCCACACAAACAACCCUAGCUACUUGAAACUCAAAUACUAGUAUAGAUACAAAAAUAUAGGUACUUUCAUAAACUCAAAGAAGCUAGAGAAAAUACGUACUAGAGAAUAUCGGAGCAUAAAGAAGAGGAUAUAAACCCAAAACAAACCGGUUGAACUAGAUAAAUAGAACGUUACCAUUCUCCACGAAACAUCACCCAAGCUAGAAUGCCACGAACUAGGGUCACUGUCUUUCCCUUGGCUGUGCAUACAUAGCAACGAUGAUUCCUAUCUUGCUACCCCAGAUAGAGAUGUAUCUAUCCAGAACAGAUGUAGUACAGUAGCAAGAAUAACGUAAUGAGGUAAAGAGGUACUUGGAUUGUGUGAUAUACGUACGACCUAUCGCCAGCUACACACCUCAUUAUCAUCAUCUACGUCCGUCCUCAGCCAGAUGAUUAGAACCUGCACUAUGGAUACAUUACUAGUAACGGACCUAUAGCAGUACUCAUAAACUUCAAGAUAGUUAAAGGGUUGUCAUUAAACAAGUGGGUGGCGAAACGAUAAAAAGAGCUCUCUUCGGUGAUCACUUUAGAUGCGGGGGGGCCCAGAGAAAGAGUAUAAUAAACGGAAACGCUAGAUGAAAAUAAACGUAAAUAAAAGUCUAGAUAAUUAGGUUUUUAUGUUUUUAUGAAAAGACGUGAAAUAAAAUAAACGCUAGAUAAAUAGGUUAGUUAAUGUUGGUAAAAGGGCAGUGCGUGGUUAAAAACCGUGGCGAUGGGCUUCCCCUAACUGUUGGGGAAAGUGUGUAGCCCAACGCUUCUAAACAAUAGACACACGUCCCCGACAAAUGUAACCCAACGAACCAACAGGAUGACCAAGCUAUUCGAACCAAAGUAUAGACUCCCUUUAUGGAUGGCGGCGACACGACGUAGUAGGGAAGGAGAAAACCUUUAUGGGUGCAUCGAAGUUCACUGUAGUUUCCCCGGAUACCAACCUGUUGAUUGAGAACUACGUCCCGUACAAAGCCACUUCUACAUUAAACUUGUGUUAGGGGUGAAGCUCCGUAACAUUCUUGCAGAAUUACCAACAAAAGGCCUCGUGUUUAAUUCUAGCACUACUAGAGCUGGUGUUUUUAUAUCAACAUUCUUAGUUCCGGAGUAUGGGUACGGUUAAAAAUAAAAUUCACAAAAACCAUCGUUGACACUAGUGUUAGGUCAGGUUUUUGAUCUUUAAUUAUGAGAACGGUUUCACAACACUUUCGGGAACAACACUCGUGUGUAGGUGAGCAUUUAUACCCUAUACUCCUGUUAUCCUCAUUUGCUUAGUUGCUAUCCCUUUGGUGUUGAAAAAGGUUGAUUUGCUUAUUGUUGGAUUUGUCCGUGUACCUAAAUCGUCGUUUUUCUUUUUUUUUGUAUUAGUUUUAUAAUUCAGGUCACCCUUUUGUGUUAGGACGUCUUCGUCCCAACGAAUCCAUUUCCUUGAGUUUAGGUACUUUAUACUUCGUCGAGAUUCGCGCCAGUAUUACCCACCUAGCUUUUUUCUGCAUCGACACUAGCAGUUGUAAGUCCUUUGUGUAGAACGAGCUCUCAUUGCCGCGGAGGCAGUGCAAACCCCUCUCUCUUUCUCUGCGUACUCGGUUCUGUAGACCACUUCCUGUUACGCCGUUCCAAUUCGCCUGUUUAUGCUCGUCCGUUUACCCGAUUUGUACAAGAUAAUCCGAAGAUUAUCCCCCAUAUGGCUGGGUAUAAACAACGGAUCGAUCGGACAGUGGUCGGACUGUCUAAGGUUUAGGGUUUCGGGUAAACUUGCCUGGUCUAACACCGGAUGGGUCACAGGUCUGCGGUUUUCUGUCUUGAGCUUCUAGGAUCUGAUAGUAGUUUUUCACUUAGAAAAAAUUCGAGUGCCGAAAGUAGAAGAGGAAAAAUAGGAAAAUGGGUGUGAUCAUUCGACGGUUCCCAUAGAUUGUGGAGUUGCUGGAGAAGGUCCGGUCGCUACGAUCGAGAAUGAUAUUUACAUGGACCAAGUCUGUGGACCAUCUUUAUCAUCUCUACAAUCUCCGCUACCAGUACAUAAAAUAAUAUUUAAAAAGGAUUUUAUUAACACUAUCAAUAAUCAUAUUUAUUAAAAGAUCACGAUUCACUGAACGUAAAACACAGUUUUUGAUAAAAAUAAAUCAAACCUAUAAAAAAACAAACACGAGGGUUCACAACGAGUCUCACGAACUCAUCCUACUCUAAAAGGAUUUUUCAAAAAAUUCAUCACCACGUUAGUUGAUGUGCAACAGAAGUAUCAACAGCGAGAGCGAAGAUAUUAUAAGACAAUCACAGACUAAUUAUUUUAGUGGUUUUAUCGCUCUACUUUUUAGUAUUGGCGAUAAGUAGAUAAGAAUGCCUAGAAUCCUACUGAGCCGUUCUACCCUACUACAACCCGUACUAUGAAAAUAAGGAUGCCUCGUACUAAAAAGACUCCACCUACAAUAGCUGGUGCUGUCAAUAUGUCUCUUGGAAAUCGCGCUAGAUUUGAACUAACGUUAAUCAACCCUCUACAACCAGAUAGUAAUUUUGUAGUUAUAGAAAGCUAAAGUAUUUGAAAAUACGAGAAUAAAAGGGAUGUAUUCCCAACAAAUUAAUUCUUACUUCAAAGACUGUGAUACUACUCGAUAAGAGGGAAUAAAUAUGAUUUGAAGAGAUGAGGUGUUAUUCUUAAAGAGUACAAUUGUUUUAUAAAACUAUAUAAUAUAAUUAAGAUAAAAUAUUCAUAUUGAUAGUUUUAAUUCAUAAAUUUGUACGAGUGUAUAAAUUAAUAUUAUUGAAGUAUUUUAACACCAUAAAAAAUCAUAUUUAUGAGAAGAUCACGAUUCACUGAACGUCAAAAAGCCGGUUUGAUAAAAAUUAAUCAAACCUAUUAAUUGUUUCAUAUAUAGAACAAUGUUAUCAAAAGUGGUUUCUAGAUGCGUUUGUUUAUAAUAGUAGUAUGAGGUGUUUAUUUAAAUGCGAUCACUUAUAGAAACUAAAAAGUUACGUAGGAGUUAUAGAUAUAUUAAACCGUUUUGGCAAAUAAUACAUACUUAGCUCAUUGGACCAUCUAUAAGAAACUUAGUUAUGAUUGUUCAAAGCUAUAAUGAUUGAUCUAUUUAGAUCUCGUAUGUAUUACAGAUCUAACGCACUCAUAAUGUUUAUGUUUAAGCUCAUUCAACAUCAUAACUAGCAAACGAAAAAAUGUACCUAAAAAAGAUGUUUUUACCACACUGAACGGAUUUUGUACGUAGGUAUAGUUCUAAUAGCAACUUGAUCGGAGAGACUUUAAACGAACUUGGUUGAGACAAACUAUUCUAAAGUUCUAAGUGGAGUAGACGAUUAAACUUUUAACAUAUAGUGCGAUUACAUGUUCGUACGAUGAAAAAUCUCAGGAUGCUUGUUCCCCACCCGUCCGUCGUUAUAAUCACCGUCUCGAAGUACCCCCGGUUGGAGCCGGUACGGGGGGGGUGGGGCGGGUUUUAUUUGUACGUAUAUAGGGAAACAUGUACGGAUAAAAGGUGAUUUUUAGUCAACUUUUAUUAAU
This 6274-nucleotide ribosomal RNA is filed under the name Triticum aestivum (bread wheat). Its description in RNAcentral is "partial small subunit ribosomal RNA". Lineage: Eukaryota; Viridiplantae; Streptophyta; Magnoliopsida; Poales; Poaceae. The record is from RNAcentral.